GAAUUCGCCCUUAGAGUUUGAUCCUGGCUCAGGACGAACGCUGGCGGCGUGCCUAACACAUGCAAGUCGAACGGGGUAAGAAGCUUCGGUUUUUUACUUAGUGGCGAACGGGUGAGUAACGCGUGAGUAACCUGCCUUUCAGUGGGGGACAACAGUUAGAAAUGACUGCUAAUACCGCAUAAUGUUUCGAGAGGGCAUCCUUUUGAAACCAAAGAUUUAUUGCUGAAAGAUGGACUCGCGUCUGAUUAGCUAGAUGGCGGGGUAACGGCCCACCAUGGCGACGAUCAGUAGCCGGUCUGAGAGGAUGAACGGCCACAUUGGGACUGAGAUACGGCCCAGACUCCUACGGGAGGCAGCAGUGGGGAAUAUUGGGCAAUGGGCGAAAGCCUGACCCAGCAACGCCGCGUGAAGGAAGAAGGCCUUCGGGUUGUAAACUUCUUUUACCAGGGACGAAGAAAGUGACGGUACCUGAGAAAAAGCAACGGCUAACUACGUGCCAGCAGCCGCGGUAAUACGUAGGUUGCAAGCGUUGUCCGGAUUUACUGGGUGUAAAGGGCGUGUAGGCGGAGAUGCAAGUUGGGAGUGAAAUCCCGGGGCUCAACCCCGGAACUGCUUUCAAAACUGCAUCCCUUGAGUAUCGGAGAGGCAAGCGGAAUUCCUAGUGUAGCGGUGAAAUGCGUAGAUAUUAGGAGGAACACCAGUGGCGAAGGCGGCUUGCUGGACGACAACUGACGCUGAGGCGCGAAAGCGUGGGGAGCAAACAGGAUUAGAUACCCUGGUAGUCCACGCUGUAAACGAUGAAUACUAGGUGUGGGAGGACUGACCCUUUCCGUGCCCCAUUUAACACAAUAAG
Molecule: ribosomal RNA, 853 nt
Filed under: uncultured bacterium
Lineage: Bacteria
Description: bacterial SSU rRNA
Rfam family: Bacterial small subunit ribosomal RNA
Source: RNAcentral